AAGACACUAGUAAAAGAGUAAUUACACCGCCUUGUCAGGCGGAAGUGUGGGUUAAACCCCCGCGUGUCUUGCU
This 73-nucleotide transfer RNA is filed under the name Sebastes ruberrimus (yelloweye rockfish). Its description in RNAcentral is "tRNA-Asp". Lineage: Eukaryota; Metazoa; Chordata; Actinopteri; Perciformes; Sebastidae. The record is from RNAcentral.